CGAUGUUCGACUGACUUCCUGUCAUGUCACUUCCUCGAGGUUAGUACAGUCGUCGCUUAGCGGUCCUGCUGAGGAGCGAUCUCCAAGUACAGUCGAAGUCAUGUGUGAAGCUUUAUUGAAGCUUUAUUUAAACGGGUUGCUGUUCCCAUACCAGUUGGGAAGUAAAAGAAGAAGGAAAGUACCAGAAACUAAAGCGACACAAGCUGUGCCAACAGGGUAAGAUGUUACGUUUCACUUUUUAAACCUACUCUUGAUAUUUGCAGUCUUUGCUCCUUUGCUAAUUAAAUCUGCGUCAUCUUAUAGAACCUGUGACAUAAGGUAGUCCUAAUAUGGUUAUGUAUGUCAUUGUUAAUAGAGUGAUCACUGUUCUUAAAGGUGUUUUCAAUUUAAAAAUAAUAGGCAAUCAAAACUGAAAGCACUUCGUGCACUUGGUGCUUUCAGUUCCAUCCAACUGGAAAUUCCCUGGAUGUUGUUUAAACAGCUCAUCAUAGCUCACACAACACUGUGAGCAUGCAGUCGCUUCAGACCCCUUCGUCCUUUUACACAUUUUUUAGCAGCUUUGUGUAACAAUGAAAACUGACAUUUUCUAACAUGAGUCAACAUUA
Long non-coding RNA from Haplochromis burtoni (Burton's mouthbrooder), 605 nucleotides. RefSeq lists it as uncharacterized. NCBI's taxonomy places the organism in Eukaryota, Metazoa, Chordata, Actinopteri, Cichliformes, Cichlidae. The transcript is spliced from 3 exons. The record is from RefSeq and is a predicted model, not a curated record.